Molecule: long non-coding RNA, 1104 nt
Filed under: Heterocephalus glaber (naked mole-rat)
Lineage: Eukaryota; Metazoa; Chordata; Mammalia; Rodentia; Bathyergidae
Description: lncRNA (ENSHGLG00100050130.1)
Source: RNAcentral
GGAGGAGGAGGCCUAAGCAUGGGCCACAGCCCGCCUUCGCGAACAGGUGGUGGCCGGCCCAGUGCGGUCUCCGCUAGGGGAACCCUAGGCUUCCUGGGUAAAGCAACAGCUGAAAGCUCCCGCUCUGCUUUCCCAACAACGCUGCUUCGAUCCCGCCCGAGUCAUGUUUGGAAACCAUACAGUAUUCUGCGAAGCUAGGACACAGGAAGUGGCACGGGGAGAAAAGGUCGGCAGCAAUAGUUUGUGCACGCUGUGCUAACAACUCGGAGAUUUUCCCAGCGGACUCCUGAACGCUAAAACCGAAGGAACCCAGGGUGCCUAGCGACACCUUCAUUCUCAACAAGGGUCUACGGAGAAACCGAAACUUACAGUGCCACCCGCAUGGAAAGGUGAAAGAAUGCACUCAUAGCCUGAGAACUGCCAGAGAGACAGCGUGAAAGACCUUUAAGAGGUGAAGUUCCCGCAGAGGAUGCCUGUGUGUUCGCGACCUCUUCCAGCACAGGCUUUACACACCACCCGUCCUCUCAACUGUUAGGCAGCCUGUGACCCGGUCAUCAACGUGCAACGCCGACUCCACCCGCCAGCAUUUUGCUGGGAACCGGCUGCCCCCGAAACCCCGCCACUACCUUUCCCCUCCACCACGGCAAGGAACCCACACCAGUCAGAAGCCCCUUGGAGCGUGUGGAGGGUCCUGGGGAACUACCGGGACCUCCUGCCGGGAGGAGGACCGCCGCCCGACAUCCUCAAUCUCAGGAACGCAAAGCCGGGUCCCCGGCCGCGCCCCGGGGUGCGGCGCUGACGGGGGUCUCAUGAAGUUGCUAAGUUAUCCAGGCUGGGCUUGAACUUGCAAUCCUCCUACCUCAGUUUCCCAGAGUGCUGGAAUUGCAGAUAUGUGCCGUAGUGCCCAGCUGAAGCCUUCUUUGGAACUCAUAUAUUGUUGGUGGGGGAAAAACAUUAGUCCAACCCCUGUGGAAGACUGACAGGAUCUACCAAAGCUAAACUGGGAAACAGUCAUACCCCCUGUUGCGCAGCAAUUCCACUCCCAACAGAUGAGUAAGUACUUCUUUCCAACAAAAGAAUGAUGUGUAAACCACGUGUGGUGGG